UCCCGAAAUUUUGCUGGCGCGCCGGCCCGUCUCGCACGUGACGUCGGGACCGGACAGACCGCAAAUUUCUGUCUCUCCCCGACUCCAAACGC
Molecule: non-coding RNA, 92 nt
Filed under: Palpitomonas bilix
Lineage: Eukaryota
Source: RNAcentral